AAUGAACGCUGGCGGCGCGCCUAAUACAUGCAAGUCGUAGCGAGAAGACGUAGCAAUAACGUUUGUAAAGCGGCGAACGGGUGAGGAAUACAUGGGUAACCUACCCUAGAGUGGGGAAGUAACUAGCCGAAAGGUUAGCUAAUACCGCGUACGCUCCUUGGACUUCGGUUCAGGAGGAAAGCGAUACCGAGGGUAUCGCGCUCUUGGAUGGGCUCAUGUCCUAUCAGCUUGUUGGUGAGGUAACGGCUCACC
RNAcentral lists this ribosomal RNA (252 nucleotides) under uncultured bacterium. Its description in RNAcentral is "partial 16S ribosomal RNA". It matches the Rfam family "Bacterial small subunit ribosomal RNA", at positions 29 to 269 of the family's 1533-position model. The record is from RNAcentral.